UUGGCAGCAACACAGGUGUACCGUCCGUGCUGUGAGUACGACACGUUUUGCAGCUGGAGCUGUGGUGUCGUUGACAAUGGAUAGCCAUCUGCGGGCGCUGCUAGUUGUGCAGGAGAUCCUGAUGGACUGUUCGUUAUCACAAUCAUAGAGACCUACUAGAUAAAGAAAGUAGACGAUUUAUGGUGAAAUAAUUAUGGUAUUAGUGAAUCUUACUUGUGGUACCACUGGUAAGAGGGCGCUGGGUUUCCAUCGGCUUUGCACUCCAACGUGACUUGUGAGAACAAAUUUGCUUCCACCACGGUAUCUGGACCGACCCAUGUCACUCGCGGUGGAUCUAAAAUCGAAUAAUACCAAGUUAUUGAAUAAAUUAGGCCAGUUAUAGAAACAUUUGUAUCUACAUAUCUACAAAAAGGCAACCAUUAGUCCAUUCGUAUAAAAUUAUUUCUUAUAAUUAUUUUUUCAAUCAAACUGUUUAUGACUACUUCUCCGACUCCAACGGUUGCUAAAUAAAGAGUAUUUAAAGAA
Long non-coding RNA from Galleria mellonella (greater wax moth), 525 nucleotides. RefSeq lists it as uncharacterized. The record is from RefSeq and is a predicted model, not a curated record. The transcript has 2 exons. Lineage: Eukaryota; Metazoa; Arthropoda; Insecta; Lepidoptera; Pyralidae.